RNAcentral lists this ribosomal RNA (318 nucleotides) under uncultured Actinomycetes bacterium. RNAcentral describes it as "bacterial SSU rRNA". It matches the Rfam family "Bacterial small subunit ribosomal RNA", at positions 28 to 351 of the family's 1533-position model. The record is from RNAcentral. Lineage: Bacteria; Bacillati; Actinomycetota; Actinomycetes.
GACGAACGCUGGCGGCGUGCUUAACACAUGCAAGUCGAGCGGAAAGGCCCUUCGGGGUACUCGAGCGGCGAACGGGUGAGUAACACGUGAGUAAUCUGCCCCGUACUCUGGGAUAGCCUUGGGAAACUGAGAUUAAUACCGGAUAUGAAACGCAUUCGCAUGGGUGUGUUUGGAAAGUUUUUCGGUACGGGAUGUGCUCGCGGCCUAUCAGCUUGUUGGUGAGGUAAUGGCUCACCAAGGCUUCGACGGGUAGCCGGCCUGAGAGGGUGACCGGCCACACUGGGACUGAGACACGGCCCAGACUCCUACGGGAGGCUG